RNAcentral lists this ribosomal RNA (620 nucleotides) under uncultured Verrucomicrobiota bacterium. RNAcentral describes it as "bacterial SSU rRNA". It matches the Rfam family "Bacterial small subunit ribosomal RNA", at positions 77 to 680 of the family's 1533-position model. Lineage: Bacteria; Pseudomonadati; Verrucomicrobiota. The record is from RNAcentral.
UAGCAAUACGAUGGAAAGUUUAGUGGCGAACGGGUGCUUAACACGUGGGCAACCUGCCAGGAAGUGGGGGAUAGCUCGCCGAAAGGCGAAUUAAUACCGCAUGUGAUUAGAGAGGACAUCCUUUCGAAAUUAAAGUCGGGGCAACCUGACGCUUCUUGUGGGGCCCGCGGCCUAUCAGCUAGUUGGUGAGGUAACGGCUCACCAAGGCUUUGACGGGUAGCUGGUCUGAGAGGACGACCAGCCACACUGGGACUGAGACACGGCCCAGACACCUACGGGUGGCAGCAGUCGAGAAUUUUUGACAAUGGGGGAAACCCUGAUCGAGCGACGCCGCGUGGAGGAUGAAGGUCUUCGGAUUGUAAACUCCUGUCAUUGGGGAACAAUGCACAGAUAUUAACUGUAUUUGUGUUGAUAGUACCCGAAGAGGAAGAGACGGCUAACUCUGUGCCAGCAGCCGCGGUAAUACAGAGGUCUCAAGCGUUGUUCGGAUUCAUUGGGCGUAAAGGGUGUGUAGGUGGCGCGCUAAGUCGGGUGUGAAAUUUCGGAGCUUAACUCCGAAACUGCAUUCGAUACUGGCGUGCUUGAGGACUGGAGAGGAGACUGGAAUUCUCGGUGUAGCA